RNAcentral lists this transfer RNA (87 nucleotides) under Megasphaera sp. BL7. Its description in RNAcentral is "tRNA-OTHER". The record is from RNAcentral. Lineage: Bacteria; Bacillati; Bacillota; Negativicutes; Veillonellales; Veillonellaceae.
GGAGCGGUAUCGAAGUGGUCAUAACGGGCUGCAUYSAAUCAGUUAAGGCCGAAGGUGCUCGUCGGUUCGAAUCCACCCGCUCCGCCA